Molecule: ribosomal RNA, 120 nt
Filed under: Candidatus Bathyarchaeota archaeon
Lineage: Archaea; Thermoproteati; Candidatus Bathyarchaeota
Source: RNAcentral
GCCGCCGGCCAUAGGGCGUGGGAUCCACCCGCUCUCGUUCCGAACGCGGAAGUGAAAACACGCCACGUCCCUCAGCUCUAUGGUGCGGGAGCCCAUGAGAGCUGAGGGAUGCCGGUAGCC